This 504-nucleotide ribosomal RNA is filed under the name uncultured bacterium. Its description in RNAcentral is "partial 16S ribosomal RNA". It matches the Rfam family "Bacterial small subunit ribosomal RNA", at positions 30 to 523 of the family's 1533-position model. The record is from RNAcentral.
AUUGAACGCUGGCGGCAGGCCUAACACAUGCAAGUCGAACGGUAGCACAGAGAGCUUGCUCUCGGGUGACGAGUGGCGGACGGGUGAGUAAUGUCUGGGAAACUGCCCGACGGAGGGGGAUAACUACUGGAAACGGUAGCUAAUACCGCAUAACGUCGCAAGACCAAAGUGGGGGACCUUCGGGCCUCACACCAUCGGAUGUGCCCAGAUGGGAUUAGCUAGUAGGUGGGGUAAUGGCUCACCUAGGCGACGAUCCCUAGCUGGUCUGAGAGGAUGACCAGCCACACUGGAACUGAGACACGGUCCAGACUCCUACGGGAGGCAGUAGUGGGGAAUAUUGCACAAUGGGCGCAAGCCUGAUGCAGCCAUGCCGCGUGUAUGAAGAAGGCCUUCGGGUUGUAAAGUACUUUCAGCGGGGAGGAAGGCGGUGGAGUUAAUAACUUCACCGAUUGACGUUACCCGCAGAAGAAGCACCGGCUAACUCCGUGCCAGCAGCCGCAGUAA